This is a long non-coding RNA of Lytechinus variegatus (green sea urchin), 1061 nucleotides long. RefSeq lists it as uncharacterized. The transcript is spliced from 2 exons. NCBI's taxonomy places the organism in Eukaryota, Metazoa, Echinodermata, Echinoidea, Temnopleuroida, Toxopneustidae. The record is from RefSeq and is a predicted model, not a curated record.
UAGGUACAAUCAUGAACGCUAGAGGGCGCUGCGGGUGAACGGCGCUUUUUUUUAAUGGACCGUAUUGCCGCCGAUAAGCUGCUAUCGUCGAGACUGCCGAGUGUAUUGACAAAUGUAAGGGGUGGAUGAAUCUACCCUUAUUUUUAAAGUGAUUUGUCCAAUAGGUAUGAUGUGUAUGAAAAUUUCAUCAUGGAUACUUACGUCAUCGUCUACGAACAAUGGGAGAGCCUCAGCGAAGAGUUUUGACUGUCAAAUUCGUCUGGAAUAUCACUGAUAAAGCUUGAGCACCGAUCCUACCAAUGGCAUCAUACCAAACUAUUAGAACAGCUGAUGAUGUUUCGUGUACAGUUUCCCUGCUACUUGGUAGUACUUGCUUUUACCAUCCUUGUCAAUAUCCAUCCUGGUGCUGGCCUAUGACCUGGUCUACAUUACACUCUACACAGUGCAAGCUCAAGUGCAGUCUAAUUGCUGCAAAGUUGUUUUAAAAUUCCAAGAAAGAAAUAAAGUUGAUUUACUCUCAAGAUAAUUGGUGAUGGAGAUGAAAGAGGAAGAUAAUGAGAUCAUGUUUGAUGCACUUGAUGCAUAUUUUUAUGAUGCCUGUAUGUGUGAGGGUGGAGUGAAAUGGGAUGAGAGGUCAGACAUUUUUUUUACUCCUUGUCAUUGCCUUUAAAAAGAAAAUACAGUUUGUUUUACGUGACAUUCUCAUGGGAAUUUUACAACUUGUUUUAUUAUCAUUAUUGAUAUUUUUUUUUAAGAAUAUUGACCAAGAGGAGGACUGAAAAGGCUAAUUUACAAUCUCAUUACAAAGUAAAAUAGUGUUGGAUAACAGAAGGAAAAAUGGUGGAAUAAGAGAGAUUGCAGAAGAGCUGAAAUGUACCCAAUGUAGAAUGAGAAAGUAGAGAUUGAGGGGGGGGGGGGGGUAUUAAAAAAACCAAAACAGUAUAAAUCCCAAAGUAAAUAUUCUAUACAAUUCAUGCAUUGGUAUAUUUCAUACAAAGGUAGAGAAAGGAAAAUAGGAGAAUUUUGCAAGUCAAUUUGAUAUAGAUCGAUGCAUGGAGGUU